GACGAACGCUGGCGGCGUGCUUAACACAUGCAAGUCGAACGGAAAGGCCCUGCUUUUGUGGGGUGCUCGAGUGGCGAACGGGUGAGUAACACGUGAGUAACCUGCCCUUGACUUUGGGAUAACUUCAGGAAACUGGGGCUAAUACCGGAUAGGAGCUCCUGCUGCAUGGUGGGGGUUGGAAAGUUUCGGCGGUUGGGGAUGGACUCGCGGCUUAUCAGCUUGUUGGUGGGGUAGUGGCUUACCAAGGCUUUGACGGGUAGCCGGCCUGAGAGGGUGACCGGCCACAUUGGGACUGAGAUACGGCCCAGACUCCUACGGGAGGCAGCAGGGGGGAGUAUUGCACAAUGGGCGCAAGCCUGAUGCAGCAACGCCGCGUGCGGGAUGACGGCCUUCGGGUUGUAAACCGCUUUCGCCUGUGACGAAGCGUGAGUGACGGUAAUGGGUAAAGAAGCACCGGCUAACUACGUG
This 468-nucleotide ribosomal RNA is filed under the name uncultured bacterium. RNAcentral's name for it is "partial 16S ribosomal RNA". It matches the Rfam family "Bacterial small subunit ribosomal RNA", at positions 28 to 507 of the family's 1533-position model. The record is from RNAcentral.